CAACCCUUAAGCCUCUGUUGCUUAACGUUAGGAGCCUACAGCUUCGGCUGUAGCUCCCUAAAUUGAGUGGCGGAGUCGGUUCACGCUCUAGAUGUAGUAAUUAUUUUUUAAUCUCGCCUAGAGUUGCCCCGAUCUCCUGCCGUAAAACCUCCAAAUUUUUUUUUAAA
RNAcentral lists this unclassified non-coding RNA (167 nucleotides) under uncultured Xylaria. RNAcentral describes it as "sequence contains ITS2". Lineage: Eukaryota; Fungi; Ascomycota; Sordariomycetes; Xylariales; Xylariaceae. The record is from RNAcentral.